AGUGAACGCUGGCGGUAGGCCUAACACAUGCAAGUCGAACGGCAGCACAGUAAGAGCUUGCUCUUACGGGUGGCGAGUGGCGGACGGGUGAGGAAUACAUCGGAAUCUACUUUUUCGUGGGGGAUAACGUAGGGAAACUUACGCUAAUACCGCAUACGACCUACGGGUGAAAGCAGGGGAUCUUCGGACCUUGCGCGAUUGAAUGAGCCGAUGUCGGAUUAGCUAGUUGGCGGGGUAAAGGCCCACCAAGGCGACGAUCCGUAGCUGGUCUGAGAGGAUGAUCAGCCACACUGGAACUGAGACACGGUCCAGACUCCUACGGGAGGCAGCAGUGGGGAAUACUGGACAAUGGGCGCAAGCCUGAUCCAGCCAUACCGCGUGGGUGAAGAAGGCCUUCGGGUUGUAAAGCCCUUUUGUUGGGAAAGAAAAGCAGCAGGUUAAUACCCCGCCGUUCUGACGGUACCCAAAGAAUAAGCACCGGCUAACUUCGUG
This 492-nucleotide ribosomal RNA is filed under the name uncultured bacterium. RNAcentral's name for it is "partial 16S ribosomal RNA". It matches the Rfam family "Bacterial small subunit ribosomal RNA", at positions 29 to 507 of the family's 1533-position model. The record is from RNAcentral.